AACGCCGUCAAAGUUGACAGUGUCCAUCACCGCUUAUUUCCCUCAAUCAUAACGCUCACCCCCCCCCCCCCCCCGACCCCACCCACACACACACACACCAAACCCCCUCAUCCUGUGUUGCUUAAGAUUCUUUGUGAAUUGUGAAUAUCUGUUGCAGUUCUGUUGGAUUCAAACUUGAAUCUGUAAAGUAAAAUUUUGAACUUUUUGGCAUAUUGGGGUUUGUUGUUAUGAGGUGUUGAUGGGUUAAAUACUCAAAUUGGGUGUCAAUUAAUACAACAUAUUCGGUGUAAUCCCGUAAGUGGGGUUUGAGGAGGGCUGGGUAUACGCAGAUCCUUAUAUAGGUCUUAUUCGAUUUUAUAGGGAUUUUCUUCACAUUCAACAACCGUCAUUGUAGAAAUUUUUUUUACUUACAAAAAUCUCAACUUUGUAGCAUAGAACAUCCUUUUCUACCGAUGUUUGAUAAAUACUAAAUACCCUUUGUGUGUUUUAUUGUUUUGUAGUAAAAUUUUGAACUUUUCUUGAUUUGGAGUGUGUUUAUAGUGGCUCUUUGCAUAGUUGGGGUUUGUUGUGAGGAAUUAAUUGUGCACAAAAAGGUAAAGAGAUGGGGGAAGAUUUGAUUACAAGCUUGUCAAUAGAUAAUUAUCAACUAUCAACAUUCUUGUCUAUGGACUCAGACAGAGAAGUGAAUAGGCAGAAUGUGCUUUCGAGGCCACCCGAUAUUAAUCUCGCGUUAGAAAGUAGCCACGAAAUGUUUGAUAUGAUGGAGGUUGGACUUGGACACCAAAUUAAUGAAUGUUAUAAUGAGCUUCUUGAUUUGUCUAAAGUUGGAAGGAAAUGUGCUAAGAGAUUGGAUAGUGUUUGGGGUGCUUGGUUCUUCUUUACGUUCUACUUCAAACCUGUUUUGAAGGAGAAAUCUAAGUGUAAAAUUGUUCGAGAUAGUAAUGGGGUGUCGGGAUUUGAUAAGUCUGAUCUUCAGCUUGAUGUGUUUGUGGUUCAACAUGAGAUGGAGAAUAUGUACAUGUGGGUUUUCAAGGAGAGGUCUGAAAAUGCAUUGGGGGAGAUGGAGUUGAGGAGUUAUAUGAAUGGACAUUCUAAGCAGGGAGAGCGUUCAUUUCCAUUUAGCGUUGACAAGGGUUUCAUGUUUUCUCAUAAAAUGCAGCACAAACACUAUAGCGGCCUCUCGGAUCAGCAGUGUUUGCAUGGAAUCGAGCUUGUUCCAUCACCUGAUUUGUCAUGUAUUGAUGAGGAAGAGCAGAAGAAGUGGAUGGAACUUACUGGUAGGGAUAUCAAUUUUUCAAUCCCACCCGAAGCUAGAGACUUCGAUUCAUGGCGUAACCUUCUCAACACAGAUUUUGAGCUUCAAAGACAUAUGCCUUUACCAAAGAGCAAUUUUCAUCUCGCUUCAAAAAAAUUACUGAAUGGUACUAGUCUCAACUUGUCAACUCAACCAUCAAACCCUGUGAACAGCAACGGUUUAAAGCUCUCAUCUGAUUGUGGUAAGAAAAGGAAAGACGUAUUUUCUCAUGGAAGUGAUGAAGAUCAUACCUUGUCGACUAAUCCCAGUUUAAACAGACAUCAAAAUGGAGAACCACACACUGUUGAACCACCUUGGAUGACUCAGUUUUCGGGAGUAAUGAAAAAUGUAUAUGGGCCAGUUGCUGCUGCAAAAACUAUAUACGAGGACUCGGAAGGAUACAUAGUUAUGAUCACCCUACCUUUCGUUGAUCGUGAAAAGGUGAAAGUUCAUUGGUGGAACAAUAUCAAUCACGGCAUUAUAAAAAUAACAUCUGUGAGCACAGCAUGCCCUCCAUUCAUGCUGAUGAAUGGUAGGACAUUCAAGCUAACUGAUCCAUCUCCAGAGCACUGUCCUCGCGGUGAAUUCACAAGGGAAAUUUCACUUCCAACUCGAAUACCUGAUGAUGCAAAAUUAGAAGCAUAUUUUGACAAGAGCGGAACAGUGCUAGAAUUGAAAGUUCCCAAACAUGCUGCAACUCCAGAAGUGCAUGAAGUUCCUGUUUGCCUUCGACCUCCAGAUGAGUUUAUGCUGUCAUGAGCUAGGUAUUGAUUGCAGAAGUGUCAGGUAGCCCAGAUAGUUAAUUUCCGUUCUAAUUUUAAGUUACAUUUUUAGUGGGAAAUUCAAUCAUUGUUGAAAAGUUAAUCAUAUCUAAUGAUAGCAACUUAUUAGGAUCCUUUGCUGCCGCUCAAACUGUUCUGUAGCAAUGCUGAGUCGCCUAGUAUGUGAUGCAGAGUGAAGCAUGUUAUUAAUCAUUAAGAGCAUUAAGGACACGCUGGAGACCUCCAAAAAACUUGUUACAAUCAACCUAGGUUACAUACAAGAAAUCUCUUCUGGGCUUGUCCAACUUUUUGCCACUUCAGUUGGAAUAGGGAAGAGAGACACGACAUAGGCAAAGAGUUCAACACAGAAUUGAUCAAGGUGACUCUACCUCUAAGUGAUAAAAUAUGAUGCUUUCCAGUUUGCAAAUUUCUUCUCUGUUUACUCAACAAUCCCAUUCCAAAUCUCCCCAUCUUUGUGUUUGUUUCGUAAUGGCAUGCCUAACAUACAGUUGGUAGUUUCUCUACCCUGCAGCCCAAAAUGUUGGCCAAAACCUGCACCUAAGCUACUUCCCUGAUUGGAAAGCUAUGUUGCUUGGACUCUUUCAAAAUGUCGAUGGGUGCGUGUCAGCUUCGCCAAAACUAGUGUAUUUUUGGAGAAUUGGACACGGUGCAGCGUCGAAAGUGAAGAGUCUACGCAACUUAGUUGGAAAGAGAUUGCUCUUCCUCCAAUUGACACAUUAACCAGAGAUAACUUCAAAAACAAGCAAGAUCACCUAGAUGGAGCUGAUAUGUUCAGCUUUUGCUCAACAGAAGACCACAAUGUCAUCCGCAUAAGGCAACUGACAAGUGGGCUGCAUAGUCUCUUUGCAUGCUGCAUUUGGAUAAUGGGUGUCUAUGUUCCUCUCCUAUGGCACCAUCUGAGUUGCACAGCUGAUCAUGUUAAUUAAGUGCAAGUGGAAACAAAUCUAAAAUGAAUCACGUAUUGAAUACCAGCUUAUAAUUUUCAUAAGUGCAAAAAUUAUUCUAAAAUACAAUGAACCAUUGCUAUUUUGAGCUGGAUUGUUUCUAUGUUCAUUUUGUUUUGCACGGCCAACAAAUUCUUUUUUUAACUCCUUUUUGUUGCUUUCGAAUUUUGAUCAGUGCAAUAAUGUAUCAUCUGGUGAUCUGCACAUUUACCUGCUUUUUAAGAAUUAAGACUUUCCUCUUGAGUA
Molecule: RNA transcript, 3266 nt
Organism: Capsicum annuum
Lineage: Eukaryota; Viridiplantae; Streptophyta; Magnoliopsida; Solanales; Solanaceae
Exons: 3
Source: RefSeq, a predicted model, not a curated record